UAACUGUCGUGAAAACACAUCGACGCAGAAAGCCGCGAGCAGGACGCUAAUAAGUCAGCCUUAUUAUUUGUUCUCCAGUUUGAAAUAUUUACGUUGUAUAAAAUACAUCUUUGAUUCUUUAGUUAAGGAUAAAGUCGUCUCGAUGCGCUAGAAGCACUGUGCCGCUUCUCGGGCUAUCUUUGCUUCUUAGUUAGCUUAGCUCGCUAGUUAGCUGCUAACAGAAGACAGAAGUUAUGAAUACAUCGCUAAGUAGAGAUCAAGUGUGAGAGUAAAGUGUUGUGAUUGUGUGAACAUUUCUACAUUACAAAUGUUGAGAGCGUUGGUGGAUCAGCGACUAACUGCUGCCGUUGAAGAAAUAUUUGUAGUGUUAGAAAGAACGAUAGCAGAAUACGAGGCGGAACUUUCUAGAAGAAAAGAGGAUUACAAUCAACUACUGGACGCUGUUGUCAAGAAACAUCAAGUUGUGUUACACAGAACAGACCUCGAUGAAGAACCUCUUCCUCAUGAGCAGAAGGAGGAAUCACAGUCCCCCCACAUACAUGAAGAAGAAGAUGUACCACACUCCCAUCACAUUAAAGAGGGAAGGCAGAGGCCACAGCCCCCCCCCCCACAUUAAAGAGGAAGACAAGACGCCACAGACCCAUACUGUUAAACUCACCCUUUACAUUUAAGGGCAAGCGGAGGAACCACUGAACUUACACAUCAAAAAUGAAGAGGAGAACCCGCUGACCCCUCACUUUAGAGAGGAAAAGGAGGACGCACUGAACCCCUACAUUAAAGAGGAAGAGGAGGACCAAGAGCUGCUGCACAUUAAAGAGGAAUAGGAGGAACACCGCAUCAGUCAGCCUAAAUGGUUGGAGGAGUUCCCAGUGACUGGUGUCCCUGUGAAGAGUGAAGAUGAUGAGGUCAAAGGUGAAGGUGAGGAAAAGAGAGAGGCGGAGCCUCCAAGCAGCAGCUCAACACAACACAUGACAACAGAAGCUGAUGGAGACCGCUGUGGAGGAUCACAAGCAGACAAGCUCUUAGUUCCACUAUCAGAUAGUGAGGACACAACGUCACACUCUCCUGACACUGAUGAUGAAGACUCUAAAGAUGAUAAGACAUGUCACACUGACAACACUCACUUCACAUGUUCUCACUGUGACAAAACCUUUAAAUACCAUUGUCGUCUGAAAAGACACAUGAGAAUACACACCGGAGAAAAACCUUUCAUCUGUUCAAUAUGUGGUAAGUGUUUUACAGUAAGUUAGAAAUUGAAAAGACACAUGAGAACACACACUGGAGAAAACCCUUUUCCUGUUCAACCUGUGGUAAAGGUUUUAAAGAAAGUCACAGUUUGAAAAGACACAUGAGCACACACACUGGUGAAAAUUCACAUUCCUGUUCAAUCUGCAACAGAAGCUUUUGUGACCGAUCAAAUCUUGUAGCACACAUGAAAAGACACACAGGAGAGAAAAUGUUGAGUUGCAGUGUGUGUGGUGAAAGAUUAUCUUCUAAGUACCAGUGUAAGAAACACAAGUGUGCUGGUGAGAACAGCAGCAGCAAAUGAAACUGCAGGAUUUGAAAUAAACUGUCAAGACUUUAAUUUUGACUUUCUAACAACAUCAGCAAAUAAAAUGUGUGUGACAUUGU
This is a long non-coding RNA of Nerophis ophidion (straightnose pipefish), 1632 nucleotides long. RefSeq lists it as uncharacterized. The transcript has 2 exons. NCBI's taxonomy places the organism in Eukaryota, Metazoa, Chordata, Actinopteri, Syngnathiformes, Syngnathidae. The record is from RefSeq and is a predicted model, not a curated record.